Molecule: ribosomal RNA, 449 nt
Filed under: uncultured bacterium
Lineage: Bacteria
Description: bacterial SSU rRNA
Rfam family: Bacterial small subunit ribosomal RNA
Source: RNAcentral
GAUGAACGCUGGCGGCGUGCCUAACACAUGCAAGUCGAGCGAUUCUCUUCGGAGAAGAGCGGCGGACGGGUGAGUAACGCGUGGGUAACCUGCCCUGUACACACGGAUAACAUACCGAAAGGUAUGCUAAUACGAGAUAAUAUGCUUUUAUCGCAUGGUAGAAGUAUCAAAGCUUUUGCGGUACAGGAUGGACCCGCGUCUGAUUAGCUAGUUGGUAAGGUAACGGCUUACCAAGGCGACGAUCAGUAGCCGACCUGAGAGGGUGAUCGGCCACAUUGGAACUGAGACACGGUCCAAACUCCUACGGGAGGCAGCAGUGGGGAAUAUUGCACAAUGGGCGAAAGCCUGAUGCAGCAACGCCGCGUGAGCGAUGAAGGCCUUCGGUCGUAAAGCUCUGUCUCAAGAAGAUAAUGACGGUACUUGAGGAGGAAGCCCCGGCUAACUACGUG